GACGAACGCUGGCGGCGUGCCUAAUACAUGUAAGUAGAACGCUGAAGGGAGGAGCUUGCUCUUCUUGGAUGAGUUGCGAACGGGUGAGUAACGCGUAGGUAACCUGCCUUGUAGCGGGGGAUAACUAUUGGAAACGAUAGCUAAUACCGCAUAACAAUGGAUGACACAUGUCAUUUAUUUGAAAGGGGCAAUUGCUCCACUACAAGAUGGACUUGCGUUGUAUUAGCUAGUAGGUGAGGUAAUGGCUCACCUAGGCGACGAUACAUAGCCGACCUGAGAGGGUGGUCGGCCACACUGGGACUGAGACACGGCCCAGACUCCUUCGGGAGGCAGCAGUAGGGAAUCUUCGGCAAUGGGGGCAACCCUGACCGAGCAACGCCGCGUGAGUGUAGAAGGUUUUCGGAUCGUAAAGCUCUGUUGUAAGUCAAGAACGGGUGUUAGAGUGGAAAGUUCACACUGUGACGGUAGCUUACCAGAAAGGGACGGCUAACUACGUG
This 497-nucleotide ribosomal RNA is filed under the name uncultured bacterium. RNAcentral's name for it is "partial 16S ribosomal RNA". It matches the Rfam family "Bacterial small subunit ribosomal RNA", at positions 28 to 507 of the family's 1533-position model. The record is from RNAcentral.